Alexandromys fortis (reed vole) is the source of this 339-nucleotide long non-coding RNA. RefSeq lists it as uncharacterized. The record is from RefSeq and is a predicted model, not a curated record. The transcript is spliced from 4 exons. NCBI's taxonomy places the organism in Eukaryota, Metazoa, Chordata, Mammalia, Rodentia, Cricetidae.
UUGCCAGAAGUCAAUGCUAAGUUCCUCCACUCUCUUGUCUCCACAGAGAUGCAGAAACUCGGAUUUACAAUAACUGAAUGGCUUGAGUCCUGACAUCAGAAGCCCUGUGGUUGGCACCCUGCUGGGUGGAUCAUGCCCCCAAGUCACAUCAGCUGGAUAACGCGUCCUCCCAGGUAAGCAGAGGCAAUAGAAGAAACCACCUUGCCUAAUGGCUUCAGCGUGAACCCAAGACCUGCAUUUCCUUGUGUGGUGAGAGAGCUGAUCCAGAGAGCUGGGUUAUGAUAGAGCCAGUCCUAUUCCUCAUCAACUCUAGCACAUAGCACACAGGAGAGUGAACCC